UUCGGAGUAUAAGCCGAGUGGCGAAAGGGUGAGUAAAGCAUAGAUGACAUGCCUUUAGGAUAAGGAUAGCUUUGUGAAAACGGAGUUAAUGCUUAAUAAUUACGAAGAGAAAUCAAUUUCCUUCGUCAAAGGGGGGUAGCAAUACCUUUUGCCUAAAGAGUGGUUUAUGUCCUAUCAGCUAGUUGGUGAGGUAACGGCUUACCAAGGCGACGAUGCGUAGCCGACCUGAGAGGGUGAUCGGCCACACUGGGACUGAGACACGGCCCAGACUCCUACGGGAGGCAGCAGUAGGGAAUCUUUCGCAUGUCCGAAAGGAG
This 317-nucleotide ribosomal RNA is filed under the name uncultured Candidatus Scalindua sp. RNAcentral describes it as "bacterial SSU rRNA". It matches the Rfam family "Bacterial small subunit ribosomal RNA", at positions 78 to 384 of the family's 1533-position model. Lineage: Bacteria; Pseudomonadati; Planctomycetota; Candidatus Brocadiia; Candidatus Brocadiales; Candidatus Scalinduaceae. The record is from RNAcentral.